Molecule: ribosomal RNA, 506 nt
Filed under: uncultured bacterium
Lineage: Bacteria
Description: partial 16S ribosomal RNA
Rfam family: Bacterial small subunit ribosomal RNA
Source: RNAcentral
AGUGAACGCUGGCGGUAGGCCUAACACAUGCAAGUCGAACGGCAGCACAGGAGAGCUUGCUCUCUGGGUGGCGAGUGGCGGACGGGUGAGGAAUACAUCGGAAUCUACUCUGUCGUGAGGGAUAACGUAGGGAAACUUACGCUAAUACCGCAUACGACCUACGGGUGAAAGCAGGGGAUCUUCGGACCUUGCGCGAUUGAAUGAGCCGAUGUCGGAUUAGCUAGUUGGCGGGGUAAAGGCCCACCAAGGCGACGAUCCGUAGCGGGUCUGAGAGGAUGAUCAGCCACACUGGAACUGAGACACGGUCCAGACUCCUACGGGAGGCAGCAGUGGGGAAUAUUGGACAAUGGGCGCAAGCCUGAUCCAGCCAUACCGUGUGGGUGAAGAAGGCCUUCGGGUUGUAAAGCCCUUUUGUUGGGAAAGAAAUCCAGCUGGCUAAUACCCGGUUGGGAUGACGGUACCCAAAGAAUAAGCACCGGCUAACUUCGUGCCAGCCGCCGCCGUAA